This 95-nucleotide ribosomal RNA is filed under the name Prolemur simus (greater bamboo lemur). Lineage: Eukaryota; Metazoa; Chordata; Mammalia; Primates; Lemuridae. The record is from RNAcentral.
UAUGGCCAUACCACCCUGAACUCACCCAAUCUUGGAAGCUAAGCAGGGUCGGGCCUGGUUAGUACUUGGAUGGGAGAAAUCUGGUUUUGCUACUU